CCAGAUGUUUUUUUUAUAUAUAUAAUUUUUUAUUUUUUAACAAGGGGGUGACAAAAAGGAAAAGGGGAAUUGAGGUUCAUGGGGAAAAGGAGAAACAAUCACAUACUAGCAUCCAUUCUAUACCUAUUGCCAUAUCAAAAUUCCACGUUACUCUAUUUACUCUUUUCUGCCUUCUAGGUUUAAGUUCUCGUUUCAAUAUAUGCUCUUCAUACGUUGCGUGUUGAUUCCGUCCACUUUGUAGAAUAAGUCCCAUCUUUCUGUUGCCUUUUGGAAAUGGACUUCUGAUAAAAUGUCCAUUUCCGCUAUUUCCCGUAUCUUCUCAAUAAGAUCUUGUUUUGGUAUCGUCGGACUUUCCCAAUUUUUGGCAUAGAGAAUUCUUGCUGCGGUGAGAUGUUUUCUGGGUUGCUUACACCCCGGGAAGCUCCAUCCAUUUCAUUGCUAUCUUGAAACGCACACACACAAUGGCUGUGACAGAGAGGGAGACACACACACAAACACACACAGGAUCAGAAGAAGUAGAAUCUCAUAUGGGGGACACCUGUAGAAGAAAUAGUAGAGAGACGAGGAAUUUAAAAUUGAGCUUAAACCCGUUGGAUGUGUCUGUUUCCCUCCAAGGGUUCUUGGGAGCUGGGAGCCAGGUUUUGCCUAGAACUCGCUAGGUUUGUCUGAAACACGGAGUGGAUCCUUCUUGGUGGGAUUCUGAGCUCCGGGGCCUAGAGAUGGGAACGAACCCCGGUGGGGGGGGCUCGUGGGGCGGAUGUGUCCGUGAUCCAGCCCUUACAGAAACGAAGGAGCCCCGUCCUCUGCUGGUUUUUCAGCUUACCUCUCUGGAGAACAGCCCGGAGCUACGGCGCGUCGACUCCAGCCGGAAGUCGAGAAACUUCAACAAGCAGCCCAGCACGGGCGAUUACUACAAACAUCUGGGCGGCGGCGAACCAGCUGGGAGCAACCGGAAGAUGGCCCACAGCGAGGAGGCUUCGCUUCUGUCCGAGGAGAGUGUGCAAAAUGGGAGUGCGGCAGAGAGCAAGCCUUCCGGCGAGGUGCCUCCCCCUCCCCNNNNNNNNNNNNNNNCUGCUGCCCGCCGAGAACCACCCGGCUUCGACCAGCCAACGGCGCUCCUCCUCGUCGACUGGAAGUAAGUCCAGACCCGUUUCUCUUCCCCACUUUAUGUCCCCCUUUCUCUGCACUGUAGACUCGGAUGGAGAAACGAGUCCUCCCUGCCUGCCGGGAGGAUGCUGGAAGUUGUAGGUCGGCUUUAAGGAACUGGUCUCGAAUGGAGGUCUGUUUCCAUGGCCCUGCUCCAAGGUUUGAAGGGCUUUCCCGGCCCAGGUGGAGCCGACUCGUUUUUUGCACCUCCGGAGGAUGGAGUGUGAGUUGGAUUUACUGUAUUUUUCUGUGUAUAAGACGCCCCCAUAUAUAAGAUGCCCCCCACUUUUCUAAUUCAAAAUUAAGAAAUCUAAAUGGGGCUUAGCAAGUGUAGGGGGAAAAGGGAUCAAAGCGCUGCAGAAUCGCUUUGAUCCCUGCUUUCCCCUCCACUUGUUUUUGUUCUCUCCUCAGCUUACUUCCGUGUAUAAGAUGACCCUCAAUUUUUAGUCUAAAGAUUUUAGACAAAAGUAUAGUCUUAUACACGAAAAAAUGCGGUAAAUGGCAAAAACCAGAGAGAUUACAAUGGAAACGUAGGAAGCCCUUCAUGUUGGGGUGGGACCCUCGCUCCCCAGGCAAAUGGCUGCCUCAGAGGGCAGUA
This 1744-nucleotide long non-coding RNA is filed under the name Pogona vitticeps (central bearded dragon). RNAcentral describes it as "lncRNA (ENSPVIG00000017249.1)". The record is from RNAcentral. Lineage: Eukaryota; Metazoa; Chordata; Lepidosauria; Squamata; Agamidae.